UAAGUGCUCCAGAGUACAAACCCUACUGA
This 29-nucleotide non-coding RNA is filed under the name Mus musculus (house mouse). RNAcentral also lists the same sequence under 1 other name. Lineage: Eukaryota; Metazoa; Chordata; Mammalia; Rodentia; Muridae. The record is from RNAcentral.